AGCGAACGCUGGCGGCAGGCCUAACACAUGCAAGUCGAACGAACCUUUCGGGGUUAGUGGCGGACGGGUGAGUAACACGUGGGAACGUGCCUUUAGGUUCGGAAUAACUCAGGGAAACUUGUGCUAAUACCGAAUGUGCCCUUCGGGGGAAAGAUUAAUCGCCUUUAGAGCGGCCCGCGUCUGAUUAGCUAGUUGGUUGAGGUAAUGGCUCACCAAGGCGACGAUCAGUAGCUGGUCUGAGAGGAUGAUCAGCCACAUUGGGACUGAGACACGGCCCAAACUCCUACGGGAGGCAGCAGUGGGGAAUCUUGCGCAAUGGGCGAAAGACUGACGCAGCCAUGCCGUGUGAAUGAUGAAGGUCUUAGGAUUGUAAAAUUCUUUCACCGGGGACGAUAAUGACGGUACCCGGAGAAGAAGCCCCGGCUAACUUCGUG
RNAcentral lists this ribosomal RNA (434 nucleotides) under uncultured bacterium. RNAcentral's name for it is "partial 16S ribosomal RNA". It matches the Rfam family "Bacterial small subunit ribosomal RNA", at positions 29 to 507 of the family's 1533-position model. The record is from RNAcentral.